GACGUAGGGCGCGAGCGUUGUCCGGAUUUAUUGGGCGUAAAGAGCUCGUAGGCGGCUUGUCGCGUCGUCCGUGAAAACCAGGGGCUCAACCCCUGGCUUGCGGUCGAUACGGGCAGGCUAGAGUUCGGUAGGGGAGACUGGAAUUCCUGGUGUAGCGGUGAAAUGCGCAGAUAUCAGGAGGAACACCGAUGGCGAAGGCAGCUCGCUGGGACGUGACUGACGCUGAGACGCGAAAGCGUGGGGAGCAAACAGG
This 253-nucleotide ribosomal RNA is filed under the name uncultured bacterium. RNAcentral describes it as "partial 16S ribosomal RNA". It matches the Rfam family "Bacterial small subunit ribosomal RNA", at positions 524 to 776 of the family's 1533-position model. The record is from RNAcentral.